GAUGAACGCUGGCGGCGUGCCUAAUACAUGCAAGUCGAGCGAACAGACGAGGAGCUUGCUCCUCUGACGUUAGCGGCGGACGGGUGAGUAACACGUGGAUAACCUACCUAUAAGACUGGGAUAACUUCGGGAAACCGGAGCUAAUACCGGAUAAUAUAUUGAACCGCAUGGUUCAAUAGUGAAAGACGGUUUUGCUGUCACUUAUAGAUGGAUCCGCGCCGCAUUAGCUAGUUGGUAAGGUAACGGCUUACCAAGGCAACGAUGCGUAGCCGACCUGAGAGGGUGAUCGGCCACACUGGAACUGAGACACGGUCCAGACUCCUACGGGAGGCAGCAGUAGGGAAUCUUCCGCAAUGGGCGAAAGCCUGACGGAGCAACGCCGCGUGAGUGAUGAAGGUCCUCGGAUCGUAAAACUCUGUUAUUAGGGAAGAACAAAUGUGUAAGCAACUAUGCACGUCUUGACGGUACCUAAUCAGAAAGCCACGGCUAACUACGUG
This 497-nucleotide ribosomal RNA is filed under the name uncultured bacterium. RNAcentral describes it as "partial 16S ribosomal RNA". It matches the Rfam family "Bacterial small subunit ribosomal RNA", at positions 28 to 507 of the family's 1533-position model. The record is from RNAcentral.